This is a small nucleolar RNA of Lolium rigidum, 96 nucleotides long. RefSeq annotates it as small nucleolar RNA SNORD96 family. The record is from RefSeq and is a predicted model, not a curated record. The transcript has a single exon. NCBI's taxonomy places the organism in Eukaryota, Viridiplantae, Streptophyta, Magnoliopsida, Poales, Poaceae.
GGACAAUGAUGAAAAACAGUAACAAAACACACCAUCUUCCAGGACUAGUUGGUGCACUCAAUGUGCCAUGUUGCCUAAUACGCAAUAUUGAUGUCC